UUGAGUGUGGACUGCCUGUCGAUGCGCUACAUUCUCGCUCCUGGAAUAGCGCAUUGUUGCCUCUACUGCACAAAGACUUGUAAAGAGGAAGUGUCAGCAGAUAAGAGCAGCAAAUCUGGCACUCGGUCGCCGUCUUUAUCAGUAAAAGAAGGCCACUUUAGCGCGAAGAAAAGUAAUAUCCAGUGAGAGAUGGUGGUGGCCUCCCUGCAUCAGCUGUGAGGCGUGACACCGACACCUCCUCAACCUUCCUCACACACCUUCCUCGACCCUCCUAGACCCUCCUCACACACCUUCCUAGACCUCCCUCCCUCCAACAAGCCGAGACAGGCUCCUGAGGAAGGUGACCCAGCAAUGGCACAGGUGCCUAUUAGUGCCCAUUGCAGUGCCACCUUGAGGACCCACAAUUCAGACCAAUUACAAUAGGGGAUUUGCAUAGAACUUACACACCUUGCAGAACGGAUGCCUAUCUGCAAGGGUGCCAAUUAUAAACGAAAUUGGUCGAAGUGUAGCUCGGCUACAGGUGGCCAUAUCUCUGAUCUUAUUUUACUCAGGGUGUGAUGCUGAAACUUGGACCAGUUGCAGCCCUUUCUAUAUCCA
Long non-coding RNA from Procambarus clarkii (red swamp crayfish), 597 nucleotides. RefSeq lists it as uncharacterized. NCBI's taxonomy places the organism in Eukaryota, Metazoa, Arthropoda, Malacostraca, Decapoda, Cambaridae. The record is from RefSeq and is a predicted model, not a curated record.